AAGUUGAAAUCCUUCAUGAGCAGUUAUACAAUGUACUAAGAAAGGAUGGCUAUAUCCUUGGAUUGUUUCUUGUAAAAAUGCUGAAAUGCACACAGAAAACAGUUUUCUCUAGGAAACAAAAAAUAGAAGAACAGUGCCAUUCCAGUGUUUUGUAAAGUGAGAUCUGAAAAGAGAAAUGCUGGGAAUUAUGAAAACGUUUCAAAAUGAAAAGUUGGAAAUGAAUUUGAACGAAACCUUUUGGCUCACGAAUGGCUCUCAGGUUUCUUGACCCCAUCUUCUCUGCCAGCUAUGCCUGACUGCUGGUAAAUGGCAGCCUGAAAGCCUUGAGGUCCAAGUGGUGAGGCAGAAACAGAUAUAUCAUGAGCAGGAUUGGGGUGUGAACAAAGUGAGCUCCAGCUUUGUUUCCUUUGCCAGCACUGCUGUGUGCAGCCGUUGGGGCUGUACAGAAUGUCUCAGUAUUGCUGUGGGACGAGCAAACAGCAGAAGGUUGAGCCUGCUGCAAGGUGGAGGUGAAGAAAUGCGCAUCCAUCCUUUUUUGCCUUCUUGUUGCAGAACUCACCAACAAGACCAUUCAGGACUGAAUUCAUUUCCAGCAGGGAGCGAAUGGUUUGUUGGAACCUGGGGAGGCAGAGCCGCGGGCUGGGACCCGUGCAGGAUGAGUGGGGAUGUGGAUACAGUGAGAUGUGAGCCAAUGACCCCGAGGACUGAAUAAUUCGGAGCCUUUUCAGAAGGCAGAGCUGUGCCUUUCGGGGCUGCACGUGUGGAAAUGCUCAUCUGCUGCCACCGCAGUGGGAAGGGCUUCUGGUCCUGUGCUCUAACGUUGUCCCACUUCUACUUUAACAUGAAAUUAAAGUCUCCCUUAAAAUUAACCUCGUGAGAAUUUAAAGUGAGCAAGCGCGCUUUAUUUUUAUGCAAGAUGUGUGGCUGGCCCCCUAAAUGGCUCCUCAAAUCAUAUUGAUGUGGGUAUCCCACCCAUUUCUAUGGCAGGUGGGGGGUAGCACUGCGAGCGAGCGUUUCCAAUGGAAAUGGGAAAAUAAUAGUGAUGAUCUUUGAGUGAACUUGGGUGGUGUUUGAGAAGUACGGUAUUAUCAGAGCUAAACAGAAGGUGGUCCAUGCAAAGGAUUUCAAUUGAGCUGUUUUGAGAAAUUGACACGUACUUUGAAGUUCUCUGGAGGAAGAUUUUUCCUCUGCCUUUCUUCCCUCGGGGAAAAAAAAAGCCACACAUUUGAACAGAAUUUAUCAUUUCUUGUAAUAUUUUCUAUUUUUAGGGUAUGUCUGUGUUCAGUAUGGAAGGACUGAAAAAAAUCUGUGAUUUUUCUUUAAGAUGUGGAGAUGU
RNAcentral lists this long non-coding RNA (1336 nucleotides) under Phasianus colchicus (ring-necked pheasant). Its description in RNAcentral is "lncRNA (ENSPCLG00000010990.1)". The record is from RNAcentral. Lineage: Eukaryota; Metazoa; Chordata; Aves; Galliformes; Phasianidae.